UACGGAGGAUCCAAGCGUUAUCCGGAUUUAUUGGGUUUAAAGGGUGCGUAGGCGGCCUAUUAAGUCAGGGGUGAAAGACGGUAGCUCAACUAUCGCAGUGCCCUUGAUACUGAUGGGCUUGAAUGAACUAGAGGUAGGCGGAAUGUGACAAGUAGCGGUGAAAUGCAUAGAUAUGGCACAGAACACCGAUGGCGAAGGCAGCUCACUAAGCUAUGAUUGACGCUGAGGCUCGAAAGCGGGGGGAUCAAACAGG
RNAcentral lists this ribosomal RNA (253 nucleotides) under uncultured bacterium. RNAcentral's name for it is "partial 16S ribosomal RNA". It matches the Rfam family "Bacterial small subunit ribosomal RNA", at positions 524 to 776 of the family's 1533-position model. The record is from RNAcentral.